AGGCGGGGACGGCCUUCCAUCUCCAUUAUUUCAUGGACGGGCGAUGCUAAGUCUGGGUUCCUCUAUUGGGAGGCAGGUAGUCUCCUCUUGGGGUCACCUUGUCCAUCUCCUGUCUCCUUGGAGGGCACCCCAUCAUGGUCACAUAGAUGAGAAGCCUCCGGCCUCAGAGCUGCCUUAACCCCUGCUCAGAAAGGAGAGGGACACGGGAGAAAGGAGUGGAGGCCACAUGGCCAAAUCGGUCCUCUGACCACGGCACUUCACACGGUACACUUGUCCCCCCACUCCCACGUUCUGGUGACAAAAUUCUGCUAAGGAAAGGGAGAGAGGGCAGGAACACUUGGGAGGACAGGAAUAGGAUGCAGUCAGGACAGUUUUCCUACCAGCCUGCAGGGUUGUGUAACAAUGAAAAAUUGUAUUUUGCAAGUGGAACCAAGCUUUCUGUCUUGGAGGAUCUGCAGAAGGUCACCCCUCCCACGGUCACAGUGUUUGAACCAUCAGAAGCAGAGAUCUCGCGGACCCAGAAGGCCACGCUCGUGUGCCUGGCCACGGGCUUCUACCCCGACCACGUGGAGCUGAGCUGGUGGGUGAACGGGAAGGAGGUCACGAGUGGGUUCAGCACCGACCCGCAGCCCUACAAGGAGAGGCCCAGCGAGAAUGACUCCAGCUACUGUCUGAGCAGCCGGCUGAGGGUCUCUGCCUCCUUCUGGCACAACCCGCGCAACCACUUCCGCUGCCAAGUCCAGUUCUAUGGGCUCGGGGACGACGAUGAGUGGAAAUACGAUAGAGUCAAACCCAUCACCCAGAACAUCAGUGCUGAGGCCUGGGGCAGAGCAGACUGUGGCUUCACCUCGGUGUCCUACCAUCAGGGCGUCCUGUCUGCCACCAUCCUCUAUGAGAUCCUGCUGGGCAAGGCCACGCUGUAUGCUGUGCUGGUCAGCGUCCUGGUGCUGAUGGUCAAGAGAAAGGGUUCCUGAAACUAGUUCAGAGGCAGAGCCAGCAGCUUCCAGCCUGCUGUUGCCCCAGGACGGAUUCUCCUUUUUCCACUUCUAGCCAGUGCUUCUCAAGAGCUGUCUUCAUCUCUCUGCUCACCCCCAACACCUAUCCCCUAUGUUUGUACACACCUGAAUGCUCAUGACCCAAAUCUCCCUAACCCCGGGGGUCCCUAGUGUGACCACAUUGACCGAAUCAAUAAAAAUGGCCUGACCUGGUUUGAC
Molecule: non-coding RNA, 1214 nt
Organism: Canis lupus familiaris (dog)
Lineage: Eukaryota; Metazoa; Chordata; Mammalia; Carnivora; Canidae
Source: the annotation of a RefSeq genome assembly